RNAcentral lists this ribosomal RNA (1284 nucleotides) under Citrobacter freundii. Its description in RNAcentral is "bacterial LSU rRNA". It matches the Rfam family "Bacterial large subunit ribosomal RNA", at positions 1663 to 2925 of the family's 2925-position model. The record is from RNAcentral. Lineage: Bacteria; Pseudomonadati; Pseudomonadota; Gammaproteobacteria; Enterobacterales; Enterobacteriaceae.
GUGGUCAGGUAGAGAAUACCAAGGCGCUUGAGAGAACUCGGGUGAAGGAACUAGGCAAAAUGGUGCCGUAACUUCGGGAGAAGGCACGCUGAUAUGUAGGUGAAGUGAUUUACUCAUGGAGCUGAAAUCAGUCGAAGAUACCAGCUGGCUGCAACUGUUUAUUAAAAACACAGCACUGUGCAAACACGAAAGUGGACGUAUACGGUGUGACGCCUGCCCGGUGCCGGAAGGUUAAUUGAUGGGUUAUCCGUAAGGAGAAGCUCUUGAUCGAAGCCCCGGUAAACGGCGGCCGUAACUAUAACGGUCCUAAGGUAGCGAAAUUCCUUGUCGGGUAAGUUCCGACCUGCACGAAUGGCGUAAUGAUGGCCAGGCUGUCUCCACCCGAGACUCAGUGAAAUUGAACUCGCUGUGAAGAUGCAGUGUACCCGCGGCAAGACGGAAAGACCCGUGAACCUUUACUAUAGCUUGACACUGAACACUGGUCCUUGAUGUGUAGGAUAGGUGGGAGGCUUUGAAGUGUGGACGCCAGUCUGCAUGGAGCCGACCUUGAAAUACCACCCUUUAAUGGCUGGUGUUCUAACGUGGGCCCGUGAUCCGGGUUGCGGACAGUGUCUGGUGGGUAGUUUGACUGGGGCGGUCUCCUCCAAAGAGUAACGGAGGAGCACGAAGGUUAGCUAAUCCUGGUCGGACAUCAGGAGGUUAGUGCAAAGGCAUAAGCUAGCUUGACUGCGAGAGUGACGGCUCGAGCAGGUGCGAAAGCAGGUCUUAGUGAUCCGGUGGUUCUGAAUGGAAGGGCCAUCGCUCAACGGAUAAAAGGUACUCCGGGGAUAACAGGCUGAUACCGCCCAAGAGUUCAUAUCGACGGCGGUGUUUGGCACCUCGAUGUCGGCUCAUCACAUCCUGGGGCUGAAGUAGGUCCCAAGGGUAUGGCUGUUCGCCAUUUAAAGUGGUACGCGAGCUGGGUUUAGAACGUCGUGAGACAGUUCGGUCCCUAUCUGCCGUGGGCGCUGGAGAAUUGAGGGGGGCUGCUCCUAGUACGAGAGGACCGGAGUGGACGCAUCACUGGUGUUCGGGUUGUCAUGCCAAUGGCACUGCCCGGUAGCUAAAUGCGGAAGAGAUAAGUGCUGAAAGCAUCUAAGCACGAAACUUGCCCCGAGAUGAGUUCUCCCUGACCCUUUAAGGGUCCUGAAGGAACGUUGAAGACGACGACGUUGAUAGGCCGGGUGUGUAAGCGCAGCGAUGCGUUGAGCUAACCGGUACUAAUGAACCGUGAGGCUUAACCUU